RNAcentral lists this ribosomal RNA (506 nucleotides) under uncultured bacterium. RNAcentral describes it as "partial 16S ribosomal RNA". It matches the Rfam family "Bacterial small subunit ribosomal RNA", at positions 28 to 523 of the family's 1533-position model. The record is from RNAcentral.
GAUGAACGCUAGCUACAGGCUUAACACAUGCAAGUCGAGGGGUAACGAGAGGAAAGCUUGCUUUCCUUGUCGACGACCGGCGCACGGGUGAGUAACGCGUAUCCAACCUGCCCCCAACUAGGGAAUAACCUUGCGAAAGUAAGACUAAUACCCUAUAGUUUCCUCAGAUGUCAUCUGACGAGGAAUAAAGAUUUAUCGGUUGUGGAUGGGGAUGCGUCUGAUUAGCUUGUUGGCGGGGUAACGGCCCACCAAGGCAACGAUCAGUAGGGGUUCUGAGAGGAAGGUCCCCCACGUUGGAACUGAGACACGGUCCAAACUCCUACGGGAGGCAGCAGUGAGGAAUAUUGGUCAAUGGGCGGAAGCCUGAACCAGCCAAGUAGCGUGCAGGAUGACGGCCCUAUGGGUUGUAAACUGCUUUUAUACAGGAAUAAAGUUAGCCACGUGUGGUUAUUUGUAGGUACUGUAUGAAUAAGGACCGGCUAAUUCCGUGCCAGCCGCCGCUGUAA